GAGCGGCGAACGGGUGAGUAACACGCNGAGUAACCUGCCCCUGACUCUGGGAUAAGCCCGGGAAACUGGGUCUAAUACCGGAUAUGACACAUGACGGCAUCGUUGGUGUGUGGAAAGUUUUUCGGUUGGGCGAUGGACUCGCGGCCUAUCAGCUUGUUGGUGGGGUAAUGGCCUACCAAGGCGACGACGGGUAGCCGGCCUGAGAGGGCGACCGGCCACACUGGGACUGAGACACGGCCCAGACUCCUACGGGAGGCAGCAGUGGGGAAUAUUGCGCAAUGGGCGAAAGCCUGACGCAGCGACGCCGCGUGGGGGAUGACGGCCUUCGGGUUGUAAACCUCUUUCAGCAGGGACGAAGUUGACGUGUACCUGCAGAAGAAGCGCCGGCUAACUACGUGCCAGCAGCCGCGGUAAUACGUAGGGCGCAAGCGUUGUCCGGAAUUAUUGGGCGUAAAGAGCUCGUAGGUGGCUUGUCACGUCGGGUGUGAAAGCUUGGGGCUUAACUCCAGGUCUGCAUUCGAUACGGGCUGGCUAGAGGUAGGUAGGGGAGAACGGAAUUCCU
This 562-nucleotide ribosomal RNA is filed under the name Streptosporangium sp. 319H02. RNAcentral describes it as "bacterial SSU rRNA". It matches the Rfam family "Bacterial small subunit ribosomal RNA", at positions 93 to 671 of the family's 1533-position model. The record is from RNAcentral. Lineage: Bacteria; Bacillati; Actinomycetota; Actinomycetes; Streptosporangiales; Streptosporangiaceae.